AACUUUCAGCAAUGGAUCUCUUGGCUCUGGCAUCGAUGAAGAACGCAGCGAAAUGCGAUAAGUAAUGUGAAUUGCAGAAUCCAGUGAAUCAUCGAAUCUUUGAACGCACAUUGCGCCCGCCAGUACUCUGGCGGGCAUGCCUGUCCGAGCGUCAUUUCAACCCUCGAGCACUGCUCGGCGUUGGGGGCCUACAGCCGGUAGCCCCCUAAAACCACCGGCGACGUCGCCCGCGGCUCCUUGCGUAGUAAGUCUUUCGCACUGGAACGCGGCGGCGCUGGCCGCUAAAUCGCCCUAUAGGGCACACAGAACGGUUGACCUCGGAUCAGGUAGGAAUACCCGCUGAACUUAAGCAUAUCAAUAAGCGGAGGCU
RNAcentral lists this unclassified non-coding RNA (370 nucleotides) under uncultured Hypocreales. Its description in RNAcentral is "sequence contains ITS2". The stretch from base 1 to 154 matches the Rfam family "5.8S ribosomal RNA". The record is from RNAcentral. Lineage: Eukaryota; Fungi; Ascomycota; Sordariomycetes; Hypocreales.